AAGAGAAACCUAUAUUCAGCUGCAGCAGUGCCCUUGCAGAGAAGUGAUUUUCAAUGGGCUCACUUAACACUAUUUUAAUUGUUUUAAAAUGUUUCUAUGGGCUUUUGGAGGUCAGAAGCUGCUAAGUACUGAAGUCUUCCCCAGGGCUGUAGUCUGCGGGUUGGACAAAGGAAACCUGGAGAUUGUGAAAGGGAGCCUGGGAUGAACAGAAAUGAGGUGAGCAGUGGGUGGUCCCAGAACUGAAUGGCUACGAGUUCAAGUCCCUCUCUGCAUAAGAUGGGGUGAUCAGUUAAUGUCUCUUUCAAACACAGGGACUUCUGGAAGCUCAUCUAGGACUAUGACUGGACACUCCUGAAAAGUUAUGUCUAUAGAGACCGAUGGACCAGUGAUUAGAAUUUCAGUACAGUAGGGAGACUGGAAUGUUUCUGGGCCAGAGGCUAACUACCUUCUGUUGGGCUAGUUCUAGCCCUCUGGAGCAGUCAUUCCUUGCUGAUCUCUGCAAGGCCUUUAACAUAAUAGAUUAAAAACCUUUGCAGACUCACAGUCUUCGGUCAGUCCCAAAGCUAAGAAUGUCAUCCGAUAGCAUCUUGGGUGUAUAGAAAAGUCUCCCCCAUCUUGCUGUAACCACCUCUCUGAUGUAACCACCAAUAUAGUUUAAACUUGCCUUGA
Mus musculus (house mouse) is the source of this 669-nucleotide long non-coding RNA. RefSeq annotates it as predicted gene, 32960. The transcript is spliced from 2 exons. The record is from RefSeq and is marked validated. Lineage: Eukaryota; Metazoa; Chordata; Mammalia; Rodentia; Muridae.